This 253-nucleotide ribosomal RNA is filed under the name uncultured bacterium. RNAcentral describes it as "partial 16S ribosomal RNA". It matches the Rfam family "Bacterial small subunit ribosomal RNA", at positions 524 to 776 of the family's 1533-position model. The record is from RNAcentral.
UACGAAGGUGGCAAGCGUUGUUCGGAUUUACUGGGCGUACAGGGAGCGUAGGCGGUUGGAUAAGCCCUCCGUGAAAUCUCCAGGCUUAACCUGGAAAGUGCAGAGGGGACUGUUCAGCUAGAGGAUGGGAGAGGAGCGCGGAAUUCCCGGUGUAGCGGUGAAAUGCGUAGAGAUCGGGAGGAACACCGGUGGCGAAGGCGGCGACCUGGGUAGAUACUGACGCUGAGGCGCGAAAGCGUGGGGAGCAAACAGG